This 250-nucleotide ribosomal RNA is filed under the name uncultured Chroococcidiopsis sp. RNAcentral's name for it is "partial 16S ribosomal RNA". It matches the Rfam family "Bacterial small subunit ribosomal RNA", at positions 796 to 1044 of the family's 1533-position model. Lineage: Bacteria; Bacillati; Cyanobacteriota; Cyanophyceae; Chroococcidiopsidales; Chroococcidiopsidaceae. The record is from RNAcentral.
CUAGCUGUAAACGAUGGAUACUAGGCGUUGAGAGUAUCGACCCUCUCAGUGUCGUAGCUAACGCGUUAAGUAUCCCGCCUGGGGAGUACGCGCGCAAGCGUGAAACUCAAAAGAAUUGACGGGGGCCCGCACAAGCGGUGGAGUAUGUGGUUUAAUUCGAUGCAACGCGAAGAACCUUACCAGGGCUUGACAUGUCCGGAACCCUGCCCAAAGGCGGGGGUGCCUACGGGAACCGGAACACAGGUGGUGC